Cheilinus undulatus (humphead wrasse) is the source of this 430-nucleotide long non-coding RNA. RefSeq lists it as uncharacterized. The transcript is spliced from 5 exons. The record is from RefSeq and is a predicted model, not a curated record. Lineage: Eukaryota; Metazoa; Chordata; Actinopteri; Labriformes; Labridae.
AUCUGUCCGUGUUUGAGAUGGUCCAAGUACGACGUUAGCCAGAGCUCUUCUGAUAUGGUCGGGGCUUUCUUCUGUUAUUUACAGUUAAUGUGGGACCAGCUGGAUCUGAGUGCUACCAACUCAGUUUUUGGAUCGCAUUCAACUCAGGUGUGAUGUCAUUCCCAGCUCAGCUAUCUGACUUCCAAGGUGAUCAGGAUCAUUAUGACAGGAGGAUUCCUGAAGCAGACUGAUGGCAUAAAUGUGUGUGACACUUAGAGAGGAGAUCCUGUCUGGGAAAAGAUUCAGCCAUCAGCAUCAUCAGGUCAGACUCACUCGCUGCUGCUCUGAUGUCCUUGAUCUUCUGCCGAAUCUCUGGUACCAUCCUGGAUACACUGCCAGCAUCAAACACACAAACCAGAACGUGCACUUUGUCAUUAUCGAUUGGAUUUUG